This 76-nucleotide transfer RNA is filed under the name Prevotella sp. Its description in RNAcentral is "tRNA-Trp". It matches the Rfam family "tRNA". From Rfam's summary of the family: Transfer RNA (tRNA) molecules are approximately 80 nucleotides in length. Their secondary structure includes four short double-helical elements and three loops (D, anti-codon, and T loops). Further hydrogen bonds mediate the characteristic L-shaped molecular structure. tRNAs have two regions of fundamental functional importance: the anti-codon, which is responsible for specific mRNA codon recognition, and the 3' end, to which the tRNAs corresponding amino acid is attached (by aminoacyl-tRNA synthetases). tRNAs cope with the degeneracy of the genetic code in two manners: having more than one tRNA (with a specific anti-codon) for a particular amino acid; and 'wobble' base-pairing, i.e. permitting non-standard base-pairing at the 3rd anti-codon position. The record is from RNAcentral. Lineage: Bacteria; Pseudomonadati; Bacteroidota; Bacteroidia; Bacteroidales; Prevotellaceae.
GGGAGCAUAGUUCAGUUGGUAGAAUGUCGGUCUCCAAAACCGAAGGUCGGAGGUUCGAAUCCUUCUGCUUCUGCGA